Molecule: unclassified non-coding RNA, 878 nt
Filed under: Hevea brasiliensis (rubber tree)
Lineage: Eukaryota; Viridiplantae; Streptophyta; Magnoliopsida; Malpighiales; Euphorbiaceae
Source: RNAcentral
GAGGUAUUAGUUAUUCAUACCAGAUAUUUGAAUGGAAGAUUCUAAUUUCUAAUAGGUAUCAUUGUUUUUUUUGUGAUGUCUUCUGUAUCACAGAUGUUGCUAAUUUUACAUACUUCUGUAAGCAUAUGGUAAACAUGUUGACCAUAAUGGUCAGUCCAUAGUAAGGUAAUGUGGGUUCAGAAGGGUGGGUAAAUCAUCUGUAUCUAGCAAAACCAUGGAAGCUGUUUGCUGUUAUUUGACAUGCGUAUCAUAACCCGAUUCAAGCAAAUAAAAUAAUCAUUUAGUUGGAUUUCAGUAAUUAAAAUUUGGAUUAAUUCAAUUUUUUGAUAGAAUACUUGUCAAAGAUGUACAGGAGAAACUUUUAGAAAUUGGCUUUAGAGAGGCUCUUACUAUGACUAUGCUUCAUGUUACCCCCAAUGUGGCUGCUGAAAGAGAAUUUCAGAGCAUGUCGUAAAUUUUCUGUUAACUUCAUAUGGCAUUAUAUAAUGUUCAUCAUAUGGGGGUGGCAGCAACAAAAUUAUCCAUGUCAAAAUCCAUAUUACUGGGGAGACGGGAGGGGGUGCAUUAUGAAUGGAGAUUAGAUUAUUUUGAGUAGGGGAAUAUAAAUUUAAUUCUGUCCAACCAAUAUUGUUAAACAAGUUUUAGUGCUAAACUAUCUAGGUCAAUCAUAAGCAAAUCCCAAUGAACAUCAAAACAGUUUUGAAUUUAUACAUGCUCUAUGUUUUUUCCUGAAAGCUGCAAGUUUUAUUGAACUUUUUAAAUAUGAAGCCUGUAAUGAAUCUUGUGCACCUCUUUCUGGUGUAACUUUUAUUGUCCAAUAAAAUUUAUAGCUGCCUCUCUGGUGAGUUCGACUUAUUUUAGAUCUUGGGUGCAGAACG